UGGGGAAUUUUGGACAAUGGGCGCAAGCCUGAUCCAGCAGUGCCGCGUGCAGGAUGAAGGCCUUCGGGUUGUAAACUGCUUUUGUACAGAACGAAAAGCCCUGGGUUAAUACCCUGGGGUCAUGACGGUACCGUAAGAAUAAGCACCGGCUAACUACGUGCCAGCAGCCGCGGUAAUACGUAGGGUGCGAGCGUUAAUCGGAAUUACUGGGCGUAAAGCGUGCGCAGGCGGUUUUGUAAGACAGAGGUGAAAUCCCCGGGCUCAACCUGGAACUGCCUUUGUGACUGCAAGGCUAGAGUACGGCAGAGGGGGAUGGAAUUCCGCGUGUAGCAGUGAAAUGCGUAGAUAUGCGGAGGAACACCGAUGGCGAAGGCAAUCCCCUGGGCCUGUACUGACGCUCAUGCACGAAAGCGUGGGGAGCAAACAGGAUUAGAUACCCUGGUAGUCCACGCCCUAAACGAUGUCAACUGGUUGUUGGGUCUUAACUGACUCAGUAACGAAGCUAACGCGU
Molecule: ribosomal RNA, 511 nt
Filed under: uncultured bacterium
Lineage: Bacteria
Description: partial 16S ribosomal RNA
Rfam family: Bacterial small subunit ribosomal RNA
Source: RNAcentral